GGGUGCGAUCAUACCAGCACUGAAGCAUCGGAUCUCAUUAGAACUUCGAAGUUAAGUUUGCUUGGGCGAGAGUAGUAUUAGGAUGGGUGACCCCUUGGAAAAUUCUCGUGUGGUACUCU
Molecule: ribosomal RNA, 119 nt
Filed under: Musa acuminata subsp. malaccensis (wild Malaysian banana)
Lineage: Eukaryota; Viridiplantae; Streptophyta; Magnoliopsida; Zingiberales; Musaceae
Source: RNAcentral